UGUCAAAAAUUUCUUUCACUUCUAUUAUAAAAAACUGGUUUGGUUGACGGAAUAGUCAUAUACCACGUGUACCUCAUGUUAAUGUACAAAGACUAUUUUUUAACAAUAGAAAUGGAUGAAAUUUUUAAUA
Gossypium hirsutum (cotton) is the source of this 130-nucleotide non-coding RNA. The record is from Rfam. NCBI's taxonomy places the organism in Eukaryota, Viridiplantae, Streptophyta, Magnoliopsida, Malvales, Malvaceae.